Non-coding RNA from Paramuricea clavata, 326 nucleotides. The record is from the annotation of a GenBank genome assembly. Lineage: Eukaryota; Metazoa; Cnidaria; Anthozoa; Malacalcyonacea; Plexauridae.
GUCGACAUCACAGAAAGGCACUUUUCCUUGCAUGUCGUCGAAAUGUAAAACCUGUGAUUUUGUAGAUUCGACCACUAUUGUUUUGGCACCUAAAUCUGAAUUUCACAUCAAGCACCAUUUCUUGUGUGCCUCCUCCCAUCUCAUCUACUUCAUCUCUUGCAGCAGAUGUGGCAUGCUUUACAUUGGGGAAACUGGAAGAUGUUUAAGGACAAGGUUUGGUGAGCAUUGGCGUGCAGUUAUUGGCAAUGAUGCUAACCAACCUGUUGCCAGACAUUUUAAUAAUGGCAAUCACAGUGUUUCAGAUAUGGUAAUUCGAGCCCUCUGUC